This 468-nucleotide ribosomal RNA is filed under the name uncultured bacterium. RNAcentral's name for it is "partial 16S ribosomal RNA". It matches the Rfam family "Bacterial small subunit ribosomal RNA", at positions 28 to 507 of the family's 1533-position model. The record is from RNAcentral.
GACGAACGCUGGCGGCGUGCUUAACACAUGCAAGUCGAACGGAAAGGCCCUGCUUUUGUGGGGUGCUCGAGUGGCGAACGGGUGAGUAACACGUGAGUAACCUGCCCUUGACUUUGGGAUAACUUCAGGAAACUGGGGCUAAUACCGGAUAGGAGCUCCUGCUGCAUGGUGGGGGUUGGAAAGUUUCGGCGGUUGGGGAUGGACUCGCGGCUUAUCAGCUUGUUGGUGGGGUAGUGGCUUACCAAGGCUUUGACGGGUAGCCGGUCUGAGAGGGUGACCGGCCACAUUGGGACUGAGAUACGGCCCAGACUCCUACGGGAGGCAGCAGUGGGGAAUAUUGCACAAUGGGCGGAAGCCUGAUGCAGCAACGCCGCGUGCGGGAUGACGGCCUUAGGGUUGUAAACCGCUUUCGCCUGUGACGAAGCGUGAGUGACGGUAAUGGGUAAAGAAGCACCGGCUAACUACGUG